RNAcentral lists this long non-coding RNA (230 nucleotides) under Elaeis guineensis (African oil palm). Its description in RNAcentral is "long non-coding RNA (EGUI_LNC036716)". The record is from RNAcentral. Lineage: Eukaryota; Viridiplantae; Streptophyta; Magnoliopsida; Arecales; Arecaceae.
CCCCUUACUUAUAUUGGCCAGUCUUUAUUACUUCAUAUAAUCUUAUAUUAUUGAUUCUUAGAGAAUGAUAUCUAUAUAGAAGCAUUGAUGUAUAUCUAAGACCUCUCAUUGAUGAGCUGAAAUUCUUAUGGUCCGAUGGCAUACGUAUAUUUGAUGUAUCGAAGAAGUAAAAUUUUAUAAUGAAGGCUGCAUUGAUGUGGACUAUUAGCGAUUUUCUUACUAUGGGAUGC